UUCGUUUGUCACCCCUUGCAAUUUGUGUUGUAGGCCCUAUUAAGCAUACGCGUUGUGAACGUGAAUAGCCGGGAAUUAAGCAUUACAAGCGAUGUGCCUGAUUAUGUGAUCACUCACUGUCAUCCUUAUUCAUGGAAGCUCGCGGUGUAGUGAGCGUCACCACUUGACUACACUGGGAAGCGCAGUUGACCGCUAUUGGUGGUGACAUGGCAAGAGUGGAAAUCGGGGUGCAAGCCAAUGAGGAUAACCGGGCUGUGCACUUGAUCCCAGUGACCUGCCGUUUAGCACGUGCGCAAAAAAGAAAGAAAAAACAAUUUUUUUUUUGUUUCGGAACAUCCAUUUGGCGCUUAGAGUGCCUACACGAUCCAACACCUCAGCGCUACAAAAGAAGCACCAUGUUGACAGAGCUGGACGACCUGUGACUGCACCAUGCCCCUACUGUUUCGCCCAUCUGAGUGUCAAAUCCCUGUCGAGGCACAAGAAGGACAUGCAUGGAAGCCAAAAGAAAGUGCACAAGUGCUCAAUGUGCGACGCAAAGUUGACACGGCUUGACAAUCUUCGGCGGCACAUGAUGCUUCGUCACCGUUACCAGAAAACACACUGACACCACUCAGAAUAUGACUGGCAGUGACCAUUCUCACCCAGUCAAGGAAACCUCAGUUUCAAAAUCCCUGCUUGAGUGAGAAAACAAACACUGCAGCAAGGAGACACUUUGAAAGUUCCGAGCUUUACAUCAAAGUACCAUAAUGCUUGAAUUGCUUUUGUUCCGCAUUCAAGCAAAAACCUGCAGGUGCAGCUUGAUUUUAACUGCCAUUUUACAGCUAUCCUUACCUCCCUUUAUAAAAAGGGAGGGAGAUAAAGUGCAAAUCAGAAUUUCUCUUUUUUCUUAUGCUGUGUCCAUGAAAUCACGACAUUUACAUGCUUAGUAGCACCACCUUUCAUCAAAAUGAUUCUUAGAUGGUGUCGUGAAUACAAGAACUAUGUGAAACAAA
Molecule: long non-coding RNA, 992 nt
Organism: Dermacentor albipictus
Lineage: Eukaryota; Metazoa; Arthropoda; Arachnida; Ixodida; Ixodidae
Source: RefSeq, a predicted model, not a curated record